AAUCAACGCUGGCGGCGUGCCUCAGACAUGCAAGUCGAACGAUUAAAGCUCCCUUCGGGAGUGCAUAAAGUGGCGCACGGGUGAGUAACACGUAAGUAAUCUACCUUCGAGUGGGGAAUAACGUUCGGAAACGAACGCUAAUACCGCAUAAUGCAGCGGCAUCUAUGAUGACAGUUGUUAAAGAUUUAUCGCUUGAAGAGGAGCUUGCGGCAGAUUAGCAGGUUGGUAAGGUAAUGGCUUACCAAGGCUACGAUCUGUAUCCGGUCUAAGAGGACGGUCGGACACACUGACACUGAAUAACGGGUCAGACUCCUACGGGAGGCAGCAGUCGGGAAUUUGGGCAAUGGGCGAAAGCCUGACCCAGCAACGCCGCGUGAAGGAUGAAGUUUUUCGGAAUGU
Molecule: ribosomal RNA, 399 nt
Filed under: uncultured bacterium
Lineage: Bacteria
Description: bacterial SSU rRNA
Rfam family: Bacterial small subunit ribosomal RNA
Source: RNAcentral